Small nucleolar RNA from Lineus longissimus, 217 nucleotides. RefSeq annotates it as small nucleolar RNA U3. The record is from RefSeq and is a predicted model, not a curated record. Lineage: Eukaryota; Metazoa; Nemertea; Pilidiophora; Heteronemertea; Lineidae. The transcript has a single exon.
UUUUCAAUACCUCUCCAAAUAUGUACUUGAGAAUAAAAAACAUGCACUCGUCUAAUAGAUAGGCCUCGACCCUCCAACCUAUGAAUAUUCAUUAGUGGUCUUGUCUCAGCGUGAAGCAGGCCUUGGGUGCCGCCUUCGGGUGGCUGCCCUUGGUCAUUGAGGAUCGUUCCUUCUCCCUUACGGGGGAGUUGGAGGGAGAGAUCGCAUUCAGAGUGGU